This is a small nucleolar RNA of Meriones unguiculatus (Mongolian gerbil), 131 nucleotides long. The record is from Ensembl. NCBI's taxonomy places the organism in Eukaryota, Metazoa, Chordata, Mammalia, Rodentia, Muridae.
AAACCAGCCAAUUGAUCUGCAUAUCUUAAUGUGUUUCUGCAGAAAUUUAGAAAGGGCUAGCAAUAGUGUUACCAUGUUAUGAGCCUUGAGGACAGCUGCAGUCUUUAAGGUCCUUGAAAAUGGCUACAGUA